RNAcentral lists this ribosomal RNA (240 nucleotides) under uncultured bacterium. Its description in RNAcentral is "partial 16S ribosomal RNA". It matches the Rfam family "Bacterial small subunit ribosomal RNA", at positions 94 to 334 of the family's 1533-position model. The record is from RNAcentral.
AGCGGCGGACGGGUGAGUAACGCGUGGGUAACCUGCCUCAUACAGGGGGAUAACAGUUAGAAAUGACUGCUAAUACCGCAUAGGACCACGGUACCGCAUGGUACAGUGGUAAAAACUCCGGUGGUAUGAGAUGGACCCGCGUCUGAUUAGGUAGUUGGUGGGGUAACGGCCUACCAAGCCGACGAUCAGUAGCCGACCUGAGAGGGUGACCGGCCACAUUGGGACUGAGACACGGCCCAG